GACAAUGUAGGACGGAAUGGUCCCGUCCUAGUUUUGUGGGAUGGGAUGGUCCCGUUUAGUGUUUGGUUGAAAUACGAUGGGACAGUCCCGUCUUGUGUUUGGUUGGAGAGGUUGAGGUAGGUGAUAUGGAUGAAAUUUUUGACAUCGUUAGCUACAGUAUUUUUGACCCCAAAUGUUAUUUUGUAUACAUUUAUUUUUUUCCUUUUUCCCCUCUUCUUCUCUAGCCGGCCUCAUGUAUUCAACACCGCCGCCCUAGGGCCACCCCCC
RNAcentral lists this long non-coding RNA (267 nucleotides) under Setaria viridis. RNAcentral's name for it is "long non-coding RNA (SVIR_LNC010872)". The record is from RNAcentral. Lineage: Eukaryota; Viridiplantae; Streptophyta; Magnoliopsida; Poales; Poaceae.